GAUGAACGCUGGCGGCGUGCCUAAUACAUGCAAGUCGAGCGAACGGACGAGAAGCUUGCUUCUCUGAUGUUAGCGGCGGACGGGUGAGUAACACGUGGAUAACCUACCUAUAAGACUGGGAUAACUUCGGGAAACCGGAGCUAAUACCGGAUGAUAUUUUGAACCGCAUGGUUCAAAAGUGAAAGACGGUCUUGCUGUCACUUAUAGAUGGAUCCGCGCUGCAUUAGCUAGUUGGUAAGGUAACGGCUUACCAAGGCAACGAUGCAUAGCCGACCUGAGAGGGUGAUCGGACACACUGGAACGGAGACACGGUCCAGACUCCUACGGGAGGCAGCAGUAGGGAAUCUUACGCAAUGGGCGAAAGCCUGACGGAGCAACGCCGCGUGAGUGAUGAAGGUCUUCGGAUCGUAAAACUCUGUUAUUAGGGAAGAACAUAUGUGUAAGUAACUGUGCACAUCUUGACGGUACCUAAUCAGAAAGCCACGGCUAACUACGUG
RNAcentral lists this ribosomal RNA (497 nucleotides) under uncultured bacterium. Its description in RNAcentral is "partial 16S ribosomal RNA". It matches the Rfam family "Bacterial small subunit ribosomal RNA", at positions 28 to 507 of the family's 1533-position model. The record is from RNAcentral.